AACAAGAUUACACUGGAUAUCAUUCCAGAUUAUACUCAGCGACAUCUGUAGUGAAAAAAAAUUUCAGAUAGUAGCUAGUAUAAUCGAGAUCAUACUGAGUGAUAACUGGAUUAUACUCACUUAUAAUCUGGAUUAUACUAGCUACUAUCUGAAAUUUCUUUUCGCUACAGAUGUCACUGAGUAUAAUCUGGAAGUUAUCCAGUGUAAUCUUGUGCUUUCCGUGUACA
Molecule: long non-coding RNA, 227 nt
Organism: Cotesia glomerata
Lineage: Eukaryota; Metazoa; Arthropoda; Insecta; Hymenoptera; Braconidae
Exons: 2
Source: RefSeq, a predicted model, not a curated record